Non-coding RNA from Solanum lycopersicum (tomato), 172 nucleotides. Lineage: Eukaryota; Viridiplantae; Streptophyta; Magnoliopsida; Solanales; Solanaceae. The record is from RefSeq and is a predicted model, not a curated record.
GUGGCAUUGCAGAUAAAGUUUUGCCGAAACUGAUUGAGGAUUACAUGAAUUGGUUGUUGAGGGGGCUUCUAAAAAAUCAUAACAAUAAGAACCCAUCGGACGAUAAAUACAGAUCAAGAUCUUCUUCUUUUGGAUUUACGAUGAUGGACUUUGUUGUUGCUUUUCCAAUGAA